Molecule: transfer RNA, 74 nt
Filed under: Nocardioides alkalitolerans
Lineage: Bacteria; Bacillati; Actinomycetota; Actinomycetes; Propionibacteriales; Nocardioidaceae
Also listed under: 3 other names
Description: tRNA-Val
Rfam family: tRNA
About the family: Transfer RNA (tRNA) molecules are approximately 80 nucleotides in length. Their secondary structure includes four short double-helical elements and three loops (D, anti-codon, and T loops).
Source: RNAcentral
GGGCGAAUAGCUCAGUUGGUCAGAGCGUCCGGUUUACACCCGGAAGGUCGGGGGUUCGAGCCCCUCUUCGCCCA